UUUCCAGUCAGCUCUUGGCUAUAUUCCAGGUCUUAUUUGCCCCUAUAUAUAACCAAAGCCUGACUGUACA
Non-coding RNA from Cricetulus griseus (Chinese hamster), 70 nucleotides. The record is from Rfam. NCBI's taxonomy places the organism in Eukaryota, Metazoa, Chordata, Mammalia, Rodentia, Cricetidae.